AAGAUAAUGACGGUACUUGAGGAGGAAGCCCCGGCUAACUACGUGCCAGCAGCCGCGGUAAUACGUAGGGGGCUAGCGUUAUCCGGAUUUACUGGGCGUAAAGGGUGCGUAGGCGGUCUGUCAAGUCAGGAGUGAAAGGCUACGGCUCAACCGUAGUAAGCUCUUGAAACUGGGAGACUUGAGUGCAGGAGAGGAGAGUGGAAUUCCUAGUGUAGCGGUGAAAUGCGUAGAUAUUAGGAGGAACACCAGUUGCGAAGGCGGCUCUCUGGACUGU
RNAcentral lists this ribosomal RNA (274 nucleotides) under Clostridioides difficile. Its description in RNAcentral is "partial 16S ribosomal RNA". It matches the Rfam family "Bacterial small subunit ribosomal RNA", at positions 463 to 737 of the family's 1533-position model. Lineage: Bacteria; Bacillati; Bacillota; Clostridia; Peptostreptococcales; Peptostreptococcaceae. The record is from RNAcentral.